This 460-nucleotide ribosomal RNA is filed under the name uncultured bacterium. RNAcentral's name for it is "partial 16S ribosomal RNA". It matches the Rfam family "Bacterial small subunit ribosomal RNA", at positions 338 to 795 of the family's 1533-position model. The record is from RNAcentral.
CCUACGGGAGGCAGCAGUGAGGAAUAUUGGUCAAUGGACGAGAGUCUGAACCAGCCAAGUAGCGUGAAGGAUGACUGCCCUAUGGGUUGUAAACUUCUUUUAGAUGGGAAUAAAAUGUUCCACGUGUGGGAUUUUGUAUGUACCAUAUGAAUAAGGAUCGGCUAACUCCGUGCCAGCAGCCGCGGUAAUACGGAGGAUCCGAGCGUUAUCCGGAUUUAUUGGGUUUAAAGGGAGCGUAGGUGGAUUGUUAAGUCAGUUGUGAAAGUUUGCGGCUCAACCGUAAAAUUGCAGUUGAAACUGGCAGACUUGAGUACAGUAGAGGUGGGCGGAAUUCGUGGUGUAGCGGUGAAAUGCUUAGAUAUCACGAAGAACUCCGAUUGCGAAGGCAGCUCACUGGACUGCAACUGACACUGAGGAUCGAAAGUGUGGGUAUCAAACAGGAUUAGAUACCCCAGUAGUC